Molecule: ribosomal RNA, 482 nt
Filed under: Metahaliotrema geminatohamula
Lineage: Eukaryota; Metazoa; Platyhelminthes; Monogenea; Dactylogyridea; Ancyrocephalidae
Description: bacterial SSU rRNA
Rfam family: Eukaryotic small subunit ribosomal RNA
Source: RNAcentral
UAUGCGGAUCGUUGUGUUGGUGCUCAUGUGCCGGCACAACACCGUAUAAGCAGGUGAAACUUCUUAGAGGGACUGGCGGUCAAAAAACCGCACGAAAAAGAGCAAUAACAGGUCUGUGAUGCCCUAAGAUGUCCGGGGCCGCACGCGUGCUACAAUGACGAUGCUAAUGAGCAUGAUUCACUUGGCCGAAAGGCUAGGUAAAACUUCUCAAUCAUCGUCGUGACUGGGAUUGGGGUUUGUAAUUAUUCCCCAUGAACCAGGAAUUCCUAGUAAGCACAAGUCAUUAGCUUGUGCUGAUUACGUCCCUGCCCUUUGUACACACCGCCCGUCGCUACUACCGAUUGAAUGGUUUAGCAAGGUCAUCGGAUUGAGUCGUUGCGGUUAACGCUGCUCCGAUUUGAGAAGAUGGCCGAACUUGAUCAUUUAGAGGAAGUAAAAGUCGUAACAAGGUUUCCGUAGGUGAACCUGCGGAAGGAUCAUUA